This 459-nucleotide long non-coding RNA is filed under the name Agrilus planipennis (emerald ash borer). RNAcentral describes it as "uncharacterized LOC108743461, transcript variant X1". The record is from RNAcentral. Lineage: Eukaryota; Metazoa; Arthropoda; Insecta; Coleoptera; Buprestidae.
UAACUGAGACAGGUUCUUCCGCGCUGGUUAGCGUUGGUCCUGGCGAUUUUUCUUAGAAGAAAUCGCCAGGACCAUCGCUAACCGAAAUCAACGGCGCUUACAAGCUUACGAGCACCGAACGUGGAAGUCUUGACAUUUGUACUUCCAAGUUAUAACAACCUAUUCGUCUAUUUUGUAUCUAUACAUCGUAUUUAUUUAUGCAUAAAUGUUAACUUAAUAAGAGGCCGAGGUCCAAUGUUACCGAGCUAGUUUUGCAGGGGUCCACCAUCAAAAAAGUUUUCGAACGAUCACGCACACCGUGCUGUCGACGGUCGAUUUUACCUAAUUGAACAAUAGUUGCAAAUAGUUGAAACAAAAAGAAAUGAAAAGGGCUGCAUUCUUUCUGAUUUAUUGUUUGGCUGUAAUAAAUGCUAGACCAGAAGAAACAAAGAUUAAGGCAUCUGAUGUUGAAAACGUAGA